This is a long non-coding RNA of Bos taurus (domestic cattle), 1613 nucleotides long. The record is from Ensembl. NCBI's taxonomy places the organism in Eukaryota, Metazoa, Chordata, Mammalia, Artiodactyla, Bovidae.
GCUCCACACCUAUUAAGCCCACUCAUCCUAAAGCGCAUGCUCCACAACCAGAGAAGCCGCCACAAUGAGCAGCCCGAGCACCACAGUGAGGAGUAGCUGCCACUUGCCACAGCUAGAGAGAAGCCCAAGGAAAGCAGUGAAGACCCAACGCAGCUAAAAAUAGAUAAAACAUUGACGAUGCAGGGAAAUUUUCUAAUUUUUCAUGAAGUACUACGCUGAUCAUUGUGAAACAAUCCCAGGGCUGUCUUCACAAUGAAGGCCUACUAUUGCUAAGUCGCUUCAGUCGUGUCCGACUCUGUGCGACCCCAUAGACGGCAGCCCACCAGGCUCCCCCGUCCCUGGGAUUCUCCAGGCAAGAACACUGGAGUGGGUUGCCAUUUCCUUCUCCAAUGCAUGAAAGUGAAAAGUGAAAGUGAAGUCGCUCAGUCGUGUCUGACUCUUCAUGACCCCAUGGACUGCAGCCCACCAGGCUCCUCCACCCAUGGGAUUUUCCAGGCAAGAGUACUGCAGUGGGGUGCCAUUGCCUUCUCCAAGGCCUACUAUUAGAAAAGAUUAUAGACUGUUUCCCGAGAGUUGGACCACAAAGAAGGCUGAGCACCGAAGAACUGAUGCUUUCACAUUGUGGUGCUGGAGAAGACUCUUACAAGUCCCUUGGGCUGCAAGGAGAUCAAACCAGUUCAUCCUAAAGGAAAUAAACCCUGAAUAUUUAUUGGAAGGACUGAUGCUGAAGCUGUAGCUCCAAUACUUUGGUCACCUGAUGUGAAGAGCUAACUCACUGGAAACAACCCUGAUGUUGGGAAAGAUUGAAGGCAAAAGAAAGGGGCAGCAGAGGAUGAGAUGGUUAUAUAGUAUCACUGACUCAAUGGACAUGAGUCGAGCAAACUCUAGAAGAGUGUGGAGGAUAGAGGAGCCCUGUGUGCUACAGUCCAUGGGAUUGCAAAGAGAAACUGAACAGUAAUCUUCUCCCCUACCUUUUAUCUUCAUACCAAUAGAGCUGCAGAAAAAAGAACUGCCAGACUUUCUCUAAGGAGGAGUACGUAGCUGUGAAGCCCCAAGAGAAGGGGAGAGACAAAAACAGGACAGUGGAGGGAUCAGAAGUCUCUGACAGCGUACGCAGCAAACAUUAAACCCAGAUUUGAAUAACUGUUCUUACCAAAAGCCCAUUUGUCAGUCCCUAACACCCACCACAAGUCCAGCCUCGCACAACAUCUUGUAAGAAAUGCCAAAAGUCAGGGAAAACAAAAGUCUAUGCAGUCAUCAGACUCAGAAGAAAUUAUCAGACAGAAAUUUAAAACAGCUAUGAUUAGGAUGUUAAGGAAAAAAUAGACAACAUAAAAGAGAGAGAGAAAGAGAUAGAUGGAAACGUUAAGAAAGACACAAAAGGAGAUGCUAGAAAGCAAAAAGCUGGUAGAAUGCCUUUGGUGGGUUCAUCAGCAGACUUGAUGCAGCCAAGGAAAAAAUCAUAAUUGGUGAGCUUGAGGACAUGUCAACAGAAACUUCCCAAACUGAAAUGCAAAGAGAAUGGAAGGAAAAAGAAAUCAAUACAGAAUAUCUAAGAGCUCUGGGAUAAUUUCAAAAGGUGUAAUAUAUGCAUAAUUCAAAUACCAGUAGCA